CCUACGGGAGGCAGCAGUGGGGAAUAUUGGGCAAUGGAGGAAACUCUGACCCAGCGACGCCGCGUGCGGGAUGAAGGCCUUCGGGUUGUAAACCGCUUUCAGCAGGGAAGAAGCGAAAGUGACGGUACCUGCAGAAGAAGCACCGGCUAACUAUGUGCCAGCAGCCGCGGUAAUACAUAGGGUGCAAGCGUUGUCCGGAAUUAUUGGGCGUAAAGAGCUCGUAGGUGGUUCGUCACGUCGGAUGUGAAAAUCUGGGGCUUAACCCCAGACCUGCAUUCGAUACGGGCGAGCUUGAGUAUGGUAGGGGAGUCUGGAAUUCCUGGUGUAGCGGUGGAAUGCGCAGAUAUCAGGAGGAACACCAAUGGCGAAGGCAGGACUCUGGGCCAUUACUGACACUGAGGAGCGAAAGCGUGGGGAGCGAACAGGAUUAGAUACCCUGGUAGUCCACGCCGUAACCGGUGGGCACUAGUUGUGGGGACCUUCCACGGUCUCUGCGACGCAGCUAACGCAUUAAGUGCCCCGCCUGGGGAGUACGAUCGCAAGAUUAAAACUCAAAGGAAUUGACGG
RNAcentral lists this ribosomal RNA (567 nucleotides) under uncultured bacterium. Its description in RNAcentral is "bacterial SSU rRNA". It matches the Rfam family "Bacterial small subunit ribosomal RNA", at positions 338 to 916 of the family's 1533-position model. The record is from RNAcentral.